ACGCGAGGAACCUUACCAGGUCUUGACAUCCCGCUGCCCGGUAUAGAGAUAUACCUUUCCCUUCGGGGACAGCGGUGACAGGUGGUGCAUGGUUGUCGUCAGCUCGUGUCGUGAGAUGUUGGGUUAAGUCCCGCAACGAGCGCAACCCUUGAUCUUAGUUGCCAGCAUUAAGUUGGGCACUCUAAGGUGACUGCCGGUGACAAACCGGAGGAAGGUGGGGAUGACGUCAAAUCAUCAUGCCCCUUAUGACCUGGGCUACACACGUGCUACAAUGGAUGGUACAAAGGGCAGCAAAGCGGCGACGCCUAGCAAAUCCCAUAAAACCAUUCUCAGUUCGGAUUGUAGGCUGCAACUCGCCUACAUGAAGCUGGAAUCGCUAGUAAUCGCGGAUCAGCAUGCCGCGGUGAAUACGUUCCCGGGCCUUGUACACACCGCCCGU
This 439-nucleotide ribosomal RNA is filed under the name uncultured bacterium. RNAcentral describes it as "bacterial SSU rRNA". It matches the Rfam family "Bacterial small subunit ribosomal RNA", at positions 959 to 1397 of the family's 1533-position model. The record is from RNAcentral.